AAAAAAAAAAAAAAAAACUACAAUUGAAGCGGCUGAACCUACAGUAAUACCUGGAGAACAGAACACAGUAUCAAUGAUUGUACGAUAGUGAGCAUUAUAUAUAGAAAUCCACUGUAAGAAAGUGGCCCAUGGACUACCAAUCUCAGAGAGAAGAACAUUUAUUUUCAGAAUACAACAAGAUGAACUCAGGCAAUUGGGAAAAAAACGAUUAAUA
RNAcentral lists this unclassified non-coding RNA (214 nucleotides) under Hevea brasiliensis (rubber tree). The record is from RNAcentral. Lineage: Eukaryota; Viridiplantae; Streptophyta; Magnoliopsida; Malpighiales; Euphorbiaceae.